AAAAAAUACUUAAAAUUUAUUGGAGUUUUAUAAUUACCUCCACAAAACUAGCUAGUUACGAUCAAAUUCAACACUCUCUUUAAUCCAUUAAUACAUCUUUCUUCUCUUCUUCCCCCAUUCUUCUUUAAAAUAAGGCAAAAUCACCUUUUGGACUCUAUAUUAUGUCAGUUCCGUAAGUUGGACACUUCUAUUUACAUGUUUGUCAUCUGGACCCUUGAACCCACUAAAAAACAACAUUUUAAAUACUUUUUUAACUUAUGUGGCAUUAAAAUGCUGAGGUGGACUACGCGUGAUCACACGCGAUUUUUUGGGCCCGUAAUUAAAUUAUUUUUUAUAAUAUUUAAAUAAUUUUACAAAUAGUAAAUUAAAAAAAAAAAUCUCAANNNNNNNNNNNNNNNNNNNNNNNNNNNNNNNNNNNNNNUCAGCCCCCGCCGUCUCCCACGCCACCCCAACCCGUCCACCAGCUUCCCCCAUCUCCCACCUUCUCCAACACCCCCACGCCGUCAACCACUUUCCCCAUUCCCACGUCGUCCACCACCAUCAACCCAUCCCCACACCAUCCAAAACCAUCAAUUUCUCCGUUCAUCUGUCACCAUCAAUUUCUCCGUUCAGCCAAAACAAUAAUUUCUCCACCAAUUUCUCCGUUCACCUGUCAUCACCACCAUGAACACCCCAAAACCAUCCCAGCCCCGUCCAGGAUCCCCACCCACUCCAGCCCCGUCUAGCUCCCCAUUCCCACACCGUCCACCACCGUCAACCUGUCCCCACACCAUCCAAAACCAUCAAUUUCUCCGUUCACCUGCCACCACCAAUUUCUCCGUUUAUCCAAAACAACAAUUUCUCCACCAAUUUCUCCGUUCACCUGCCACCACCAUGAACACCCCAAAACCACCCCAGCCCCGUCCAGGCCCCCCACCCAACCCCAGCCCCUAACCCAACCCCAACCCCGUUCAGAAAUUUCUAACCAACAACCCACCAUUUCUUUCAACCAUCAUCACUUUUAAUCAAUUAAAUUCGAAUCAAUUCAAACCAAACACCAUGGAAUCAAUUAAAAAAAACCUCAAAUUUCGAUUGGAUUCAAAUUUUACGAGGGAAUCAAAUUUUGCUAACAAAAUCAUCAUCAAAAAUCAGAUUCUGAAAUCAGAUUUCAAUUUCAAUUGCAUUUCAAUCAUCACUGUCUAAUUACCUCUUCAAAAAUCACAAUUUUGGAUCAUAAAAAAUCAUCAUUCUUAAAUGGCCACUGUAAAGUUGGAAAAGGAGGAUCAAAUAUUCUUAACGAACACAAUAUUUUUUAAUAAGAAAAAGAAGAAGAAAAAGAAGAAAUAGAGAAUUGCC
This 1335-nucleotide long non-coding RNA is filed under the name Capsicum annuum. Its description in RNAcentral is "long non-coding RNA (CANN_LNC004252)". Lineage: Eukaryota; Viridiplantae; Streptophyta; Magnoliopsida; Solanales; Solanaceae. The record is from RNAcentral.